AAGGAGUCUAACAUGCGUGCGAGUGUUUGGGUGGUAAACCCGGGCGCGUAAUGAAAGUAAACGGAGGUGGGAGCUUUUGCGCACCAUCGACCGGUCCGGAACUUUUGGGAUGGAUCUGAGUAAGAGCAUGUAUGUUGGGACCCGAAAGAUGGUGAACUAUGCCUGAAUAGGGCGAAGCCAGAGGAAACUCUGGUGGAGGCUCGUAGCGAUUCUGACGUGCAAAUCGAUCGUCAAAUUUGGGUAUAGGGGCGAAAGACUAAUCGAACCAUCUAGUAGCUGGUUCCUGC
This 287-nucleotide unclassified non-coding RNA is filed under the name uncultured fungus. RNAcentral describes it as "partial contains 5.8S rRNA, ITS2 and 28S rRNA". It matches the Rfam family "Eukaryotic large subunit ribosomal RNA", at positions 668 to 961 of the family's 3401-position model. Lineage: Eukaryota; Fungi. The record is from RNAcentral.